GUUGGGUAGGGGAGCGUUCUGUAAGCCUGUGAAGGUGUGUCGUGAGGCAUGCUGGAGGUAUCAGAAGUGCGAAUGCUGACAUAAGUAACGAUAAAGCGGGUGAAAAGCCCGCUCGCCGGAAGACCAAGGGUUCCUGUCCAACGUUAAUCGGGGCAGGGUGAGUCGACCCCUAAGGCGAGGCCGAAAGGCGUAGUCGAUGGGAAACGGGUUAAUAUUCCCGUACUUGGUGUUACUGCGAAGGGGGGACGGAGAAGGCUAUGUUGGCCGGGCGACGGUUGUCCCGGUUUAAGCGUGUAGGUGUGUGUUCCAGGUAAAUCCGGUUCACUUUAACACUGAGGCGUGAUGACGAGGCACUACGGUGCUGAAGCAACAAAUGCCCUGCUUCCAGGAAAAGCCUCUAAGCAUCAGGUAACAUCAAAUCGUACCCCAAACCGACACAGGUGGUCAGGUAGAGAAUACCAAGGCGCUUGAGAGAACUCGGGUGAAGGAACUAGGCAAAAUGGUGCCGUAACUUCGGGAGAAGGCACGCUGACACGUAGGUGAAGUGAUUUACUCAUGGAGCUGAAGUCAGUCGAAGAUACCAGCUGGCUGCAACUGUUUAUUAAAAACACAGCACUGUGCAAACACGAAAGUGGACGUAUACGGUGUGACGCCUGCCCGGUGCCGGAAGGUUAAUUGAUGGGGUCAGCGCAAGCGAAGCUCCUGAUCGAAGCCCCGGUAAACGGCGGCCGUAACUAUAACGGUCCUAAGGUAGCGAAAUUCCUUGUCGGGUAAGUUCCGACCUGCACGAAUGGCGUAAUGAUGGCCAGGCUGUCUCCACCCGAGACUCAGUGAAAUUGAACUCGCUGUGAAGAUGCAGUGUACCCGCGGCAAGACGGAAAGACCCCGUGAACCUUUACUAUAGCUUGACACUGAACAUUGAGCCUUGAUGUGUAGGAUAGGUGGGAGGCUUUGAAGUGUGGACGCCAGUCUGCAUGGAGCCGACCUUGAAAUACCACCCUUUAAUGUUUGAUGUUCUAACGUGGACCCGUGAUCCGGGUUGCGGACAGUGUCUGGUGGGUAGUUUGACUGGGGCGGUCUCCUCCUAAAGAGUAACGGAGGAGCACGAAGGUUGGCUAAUCCUGGUCGGACAUCAGGAGGUUAGUGCAAUGGCAUAAGCCAGCUUGACUGCGAGCGUGACGGCGCGAGCAGGUGCGAAAGCAGGUCAUAGUGAUCCGGUGGUUCUGAAUGGAAGGGCCAUCGCUCAACGGAUAAAAGGUACUCCGGGGAUAACAGGCUGAUACCGCCCAAGAGUUCAUAUCGACGGCGGUGUUUGGCACCUCGAU
RNAcentral lists this ribosomal RNA (1325 nucleotides) under Salmonella enterica subsp. enterica serovar Newport str. CVM 35188. RNAcentral describes it as "bacterial LSU rRNA". It matches the Rfam family "Bacterial large subunit ribosomal RNA", at positions 1223 to 2530 of the family's 2925-position model. The record is from RNAcentral. Lineage: Bacteria; Pseudomonadati; Pseudomonadota; Gammaproteobacteria; Enterobacterales; Enterobacteriaceae.